RNAcentral lists this ribosomal RNA (301 nucleotides) under Symbiodinium sp. clade D. RNAcentral describes it as "partial Eukaryotic small subunit ribosomal RNA". It matches the Rfam family "Eukaryotic small subunit ribosomal RNA", at positions 559 to 773 of the family's 1831-position model. The record is from RNAcentral. Lineage: Eukaryota; Dinophyceae; Suessiales; Symbiodiniaceae.
GUCUGGUGCCAGCAGCCGCGGUAAGUCCAGCUCCAAUAGCGUAUAUUAAUUCUGCUGCAGUUGAAAAGCUCGUAGUUGGAUCUUGAAGUGUCAUUGUGAGGGGUUUCGGUCCGCCAGAAAUUGGUGGGUACCGUCCCUCCGGCUUCAUAUGUGAUAGUGGCGCACCAUGUGCCCGGAAGGGAUUGUCAUGGUUGAAGUGUGUUCAAAGGCUCCGGUAUAGGAGUUGGCGGCCCUUCUUGGCAGGGUCUCUCACGAGGCCUUGUCAGUGCUCUAUCUUGUUUACUUUGAAAAAAUUAGAGUG